Molecule: transfer RNA, 73 nt
Filed under: Stegodyphus mimosarum
Lineage: Eukaryota; Metazoa; Arthropoda; Arachnida; Araneae; Eresidae
Rfam family: tRNA
About the family: Transfer RNA (tRNA) molecules are approximately 80 nucleotides in length. Their secondary structure includes four short double-helical elements and three loops (D, anti-codon, and T loops). Further hydrogen bonds mediate the characteristic L-shaped molecular structure. tRNAs have two regions of fundamental functional importance: the anti-codon, which is responsible for specific mRNA codon recognition, and the 3' end, to which the tRNAs corresponding amino acid is attached (by aminoacyl-tRNA synthetases). tRNAs cope with the degeneracy of the genetic code in two manners: having more than one tRNA (with a specific anti-codon) for a particular amino acid; and 'wobble' base-pairing, i.e. permitting non-standard base-pairing at the 3rd anti-codon position.
Source: Rfam by way of RNAcentral
GCCUUCGUGGUGUAGUGGUCAGCACGCUGGAUGCGUACACCAGAGGUCCGUGGUUCGAGCCCCGGCGAAGACA